ACGCUCGACACCUACGGGAGGCAGCAGUGGGGAAUAUUGGGCAAUGGGCGAAAGCCUGACCCAGCAACGCCGCGUGAGGGAAGAAGGUUUCGGAUUGUAAACCUCUGUCCUCAGGGACGAAGGACGUGACGGUACCUGAGGAGGAAGCCCCGGCUAACUACGUGCCACAGCCGCGGUAAUCUGAGCGGGCUGGCAAGGC
This 199-nucleotide ribosomal RNA is filed under the name uncultured bacterium. Its description in RNAcentral is "partial 16S ribosomal RNA". It matches the Rfam family "Bacterial small subunit ribosomal RNA", at positions 328 to 539 of the family's 1533-position model. The record is from RNAcentral.